Molecule: transfer RNA, 67 nt
Filed under: Lepidonotus sp. YZ-2018
Lineage: Eukaryota; Metazoa; Annelida; Polychaeta; Phyllodocida; Polynoidae
Description: tRNA-Ser
Source: RNAcentral
UAAGGGAUCCGGGACAUAAUAAAGCUUCUAACUUUAUUUAGAGAGGUUCGACUCCUUUCUUCCUUAA